UUGACGGGACCGCACAAGCGGUGGAUGAUGUGGUUUAAUUCGAUGCAACGCGAAAACCUUACCACCUUUGACAUGUACGGAAGUUGCCAGAGAUGGCUUCGUGCUCGAAAGAGAGCCGUAACACAGGUGCUGCAUGGCUGUCGUCAGCUCGUGUCGUGAGAUGUUGGGUUAAGUCCCGCAACGAGCGCAACCCUUGUCAUUAGUUGCUACGAAAGGGCACUCUAAUGAGACUGCCGGUGACAAACCGGAGGAAGGUGGGGAUGACGUCAAGUCCUCAUGGCCCUUAUAGGUGGGGCUACACACGUCAUACAAUGGCUGGUACAAAGGGUUGCCAACCCGCGAGGGGGAGCCAAUCCCAUAAAGCCAGUCGUAGUCCGGAUCGCAGUCUGCAACUCGACUGCGUGAAGUCGGAAUCGCUAGUAAUCGUGGAUCAGCAUGUCACGGUGAAUACGUUCCCGGGUCUU
Molecule: ribosomal RNA, 464 nt
Filed under: uncultured Hydrogenophaga sp.
Lineage: Bacteria; Pseudomonadati; Pseudomonadota; Betaproteobacteria; Burkholderiales; Comamonadaceae
Description: bacterial SSU rRNA
Rfam family: Bacterial small subunit ribosomal RNA
Source: RNAcentral